UGCUACCAAACUCCCAUAUUGCGAGUGCGUUAACUACAAGUGCCUGCUGUGGCCUAUGUGACUGGCAUGCUGCAUGGAUCAUGUGACAACACCAAAACAAGACAUGCUCGCAGUGAUUCCAACAGAACAACCAAGUCCAGUUUCAGUUCUUGAUACUGCAUUCAACAGCUUUACAAGACGAGAGCCCAAGUCCCGAUCAGGCAGAAGAUCAGGAGAUCUGUUUGUCUUGAUUCACGAGUCUGGAUAUUGUUGAAGACUAAACCAAGAAACUGCUGCAAAUGACAAUGAAUAUACAUAUCAGAGCACUAAUUCACGUGAGAGAUACAUUAACAAAGAUGCCACCAGCAUUCGAACUCUUCAAAGAUACGAUUAUCAUCUGAAUGGGCAGCCAUCUCCUUUCCUUACAUGCCCUUCAAGAAGAGGAUGAUCCAAUUGAGGAAGCAAAUGAAGAACUCUGCCAAAAUAUGAAAAUAAUGACAAGAAACUAAAUCAGUAAGUCCAGAGAAAAAUUGAUACUGAUGUGGCAAAAUGAAAUACUGGUUCGAGAAAUAACCUCAGGCAUAUUAUUUACAACAUGAAGGAGACUGAGCUUACAGGGGCUUAUUAGGGAAGAUGGAACAAUUAUGCAGGAUGCCACAUUGCAAUCUUGAUGAUGAGGUCAUCACAUGUGAACUGAAACCUCUUGCAGGGAACUCUUUACCAUGUAGUAUUGUCACCCGGUUCUUUCUUAUUUUGUAAAUACAUAGUAUAUUUUGCUUUCA
This is a non-coding RNA of Salvia hispanica, 761 nucleotides long. The record is from RefSeq and is a predicted model, not a curated record. NCBI's taxonomy places the organism in Eukaryota, Viridiplantae, Streptophyta, Magnoliopsida, Lamiales, Lamiaceae.